GCCAAUCGCAGCUGCAGAGCAAGGAAGUGUGGCGCAGUUCAAAGUUAGUCUUUCCAAUUACUGGUGGCAGAAAGCAGAUGAGUUGUCACCAUUAAUAUUUAAGGCUCAAUUUUUAGCUACUUCUUUUUAUAUCAAUGGUUUCUAAUUUCCCUGACGUGUGGACGCUGUUGUCAGAUGCUCGCCGCCGGUAUGGUGAGCUGUUCGCGGAAGAACCUCCCCAAGCGGCGGCAUGUGCUCCGGGCAGAGUCAACCUGAUCGGGGAGCACACUGACUAUAACCAGGGAUUUGUUCUUCCAAUGGCGCUUCCCUUUGUGACCGUGGUGGUUGGAGGUCCAACCUCUGGCCAGGAAGUUACCGUGAUAACCACAGCGGAGGACGCUGAUGAACCCCGGAGAGUUGACUUCACCUUGACAGGCGAUGGAUGCUCUCUGCCGCCAGGGUUACCUCGCUGGGCAAACUAUGUGAAGGGUGUCAUACAGCACUACAGGGCUCCUGGUCUCCCAAAUUUCAGAGCAGUGGUAGCUAGCAGUGUCCCGCUGGGUGGAGGACUCUCUAGCUCUGCCUCUCUGGAGGUGGCCUUCUACACCUUCCUGCAGCAGCUCAAGCCAGAUGAUGGAGAGAAACUGGAAAAAGUGCUGGCAUGUCAGCAGGCUGAGCACACCCAUGCUGGUGUACCAUGUGGUAUUAUGGACCAAUUUGUGUCUGUUUUUGCCAGGGAGGGACAGGCUUUACUCAUUGACUGCAGGUCUCUAGAAGCCACCUCAGUCCCUCUGGCAGAUCCAGGCUUGGUCAUCCUCAUUACCAACUCUAACGUAAAGCACUCACUGACUGGCAGUGAGUACCCAACAAGACGCAGACAUUGUGAACAGGCUGCCUCUGCACUGGGAAAAGACAGUCUGAGAAAUGUUACAAUAAAAGAACUAGAAGAGGCCAAGGAGAAGCUGGAUGAUGUAACUUAUCGAAGAGCUCGUCAUGUUAUUGAGGAAAUACAGAGGACUGUCCAAGCUGCUGAAGCCCUAAAGAAAGGGUCCUACAAGGAAUUUGGCCAGCUCAUGGUGGAAAGCCACAAUUCCCUGAGGGACCUGUAUGAGGUGAGCUGCAAAGAACUGGAUGAACUGGUUUCUGCCGCCAUGGAGGUAGAGGGGGUCUUCGGCAGUAGAAUGACUGGUGGAGGGUUCGGGGGAUGCACCGUGACUUUGCUACAGGCACAUGCCAUUGACAUGGCCAUACUACACAUCCAGAAAAGGGGGUCACAACAAAAUGGCGGAUUGAGCGGCUGUGUUUUCUAGAGCUUGCAGUUUAAGUCCAAAAUUUUACUCUUCUUUUAAGUUAACCUUCCACUAAAAUCCCAGGAAGCAUAGUGUUGAGUCUAAAAACAAAAAAGCAACUUCUAAGACAAACUACAGCUGUGCCAUGGACAUCUCCACUCAAAAUAAAAGGGAAUGGGGCAACUUUGCACCCUCAACGUCAAGCAAGAGAAAGGUCGGUUGAAGAGGAAGAAGCGGAGGAAUACAGAGCUAAAACAGCCUCAUAAUUCACAAAUGCACAGGACAAGAUCCACAAAUGCACAAGUCGAGAUCCACGCUUUUAUCCAAUGCCUUUUAUUUUUGCUACAUCUUUUAUCACUUAAAAUAAGCUCACAAACUAUUGCUAUUGCUUCUACGUUGUCAGCCCUGUUUGUUUACUCUAUAUUCACGUGUGAUAUAGUAGGUUUUUACUGUAUUUUCUGGAAUCUGAAGGUCGGUCAGAGAAAUCAUUUUGUGUGAGGUGUGUUGCUCUUGCCGUGUGGCUCAACACCAUAUAUCCCACGAUCGAACAUGAAUUUUUGCCUGGUGAGU
RNA transcript from Xiphophorus hellerii (green swordtail), 1838 nucleotides. It is a transcript of the gene named galactokinase 1, with no coding region annotated. The transcript is spliced from 9 exons. The record is from RefSeq and is a predicted model, not a curated record. Lineage: Eukaryota; Metazoa; Chordata; Actinopteri; Cyprinodontiformes; Poeciliidae.